This 2474-nucleotide long non-coding RNA is filed under the name Orbicella faveolata. RNAcentral describes it as "uncharacterized LOC110062336, transcript variant X1". Lineage: Eukaryota; Metazoa; Cnidaria; Anthozoa; Scleractinia; Merulinidae. The record is from RNAcentral.
UUCAGAACUCCCCUCACCCGGACGAUCGACGAUCACUUAAUACGAACUAAAGAAGGUUUUGAAAGCUACACCUGUAAAAAAAAUCAAAUUCUAUUUUUGUUUUUUCGCUCUGUACAUCGUAACCAAAGAGACUUGUUGGAUUAACCUUAUCAUAACUGUUUAGAGUCCAGUGAAUGCUGCUUCCUCCAGGGGCUUUUCAGACACACACAAAAAUAAUAAUUCAAACACGCCUUGCGUGCCUAUGUUUCAGGUACUCAGCCUCGUCCCUGGGGAGAAGAGCCGCCAUUUUGAAAAUCAUCGAGGAGAAUGCCCUGGGGACGAGUUAGACACUUUCUAGCACGUGGAAAUGAAGAGAAAUUUGAAUUUCGUUCCGUAGUUUCUGCUGGAAAUAAAUCGGUUAAACCAAAGAUCUUAGCUUCAAAAUAUCAUCUAUGUUGCCCAGAAUAUCUAUGUUCAUGUACUGUAAGCAUUAACCCGCUGAUUAACCAGAGUUUUACCACAAGUGGAACUUGACGAACUUUGUGGCUAUUAUCUGUCGUUGAAUGAAGAGUGUAUCGCUGGAAGCCUUCUCUGAAGAGCUAAGCUAAGCGGCUCAUUUUACAAUGUCAAGUUCUCACGAUAAGCAUGGACAGACAAACAGACAGACUGACAGGAGGUUAACUGUACUUGUUACUCAGAAGGUAAAUAUUGCAAGAUCAUGAUGACAUCAUUGGUCAAGCUGGAAUGCAUACCUUGAAAAUCAUGAUGGAUGAUAGAAAAUGGUGUUCUAAAAUCACAGGACCUUGUGCCCAAUUGCAUUCUACUGUCCGUUCUGUUGGAGUCCAACUGUGAUAGUAUUCCAAACUUAUGGUGGAUCUGACAGACCAGCAGCAAGAACUGCUGUGUACAUUGUGUCUCCCUCAACAAGUCAGGAGGCCUUGGGUACAAGAUCUUCCAUCAUCUGUGGAAGGCAGCGCAUGUGAAGAACUAUACACUGGCUUGGUUAUACAUGGACAGAUGGCAUGGGUCCACAGUCAGAACAUCUCUGGAGCUUGGAAAUCAAGAAAAAGGUAAGGGUUGAAUUUGAUAUUAAAGGAUAACUUCAUCUUCAAACAAAAGCCUUUUCAAUCAUUGUACAAUUGUUUUGUAAUGAAAAGUUGAAAAAUAUCUUCCACACAAAGUGGUCCAUCAAUGUCAUCAGCUAGCUCAUAGUUUACAAGGGCAUUUGCAGCAAAUUGGAAGCUGUAAAAACUGUUAUCUUUAAAUUGAAGUGAAAAGGCUGUCAUUUUCAAUUACAUAUCAAUAUGUGCAUGAUAUUUAUACGGGUUUCUAUGAUUGCAUGCUCAAAAAGAACGACUGGAUUCUGGACUGGACCAUCAACUAAUGUUUUUUCAAUUAUGUAACAAAGUUGCUAAUUUAAGACUAAGGUGGCUGGCAACAGAUUUCAGCACUUUGCAUCAUUUAUUCUUUGAGAGAUCAAUAUUACCACUCUUUAUCGAAAAAUUUUACAAUAUCUGUAUCACACAAUGCACAAUCAUUGGUGAUCACAAUUUGUGCUUAUCUUCAUGACGUAAAAAGUUACUGUAGGAAGAUGAACCUUUUAAAAAAAAACCACUUAGUUUUUAGUGCAGAGUGCACUAAAAUGGUUUGGGGGUUGAUGUCUGCUAAAGCCCUUUGGCAAUAAGGCACUAUUGCUUUACAGCAACAAUGUAUGAACUUUAAUGUUUGGUUAAUUAAUUAAUUUCAAUUGAUUAAUUAGGCUUGCAGGAUGAGGGGUAGGUUGGGGUAGCUACUUGUGACCACUACGUUAAAUGAGUGGUACAUGUACCUACACUACUUCUUUGAUCGCUUCAAAAAGCUUUAUAUUUGUUUCAGAAAACCCUUUGUUCUCCUUGUGGUACUUUUCUCUUUAGAACAAAACUACUACUUGCUCUAAACAUAUGUGCAGGUUAAUAGGCGUUAGUCUCUACUACAUACCAGGUGGAAGAUACAUUUCACACAAGUCACAUACUAACGUUGAGCACUUUUCCUUGUGGUACAUGUAGAACCCAGACAAGUCAUAUGGAAGUGUUCUAGUAUCAUUGGCGCGAUACAAGAAUGCUACUGAGACUGCGUUUCUUUUGGAAUUAUGCCUCACUUGGUUCAAGAAAUGUCACCUGUUGUUUCAUCCUUUAAUUGUCUCUAUCAAACAGAUUAAAAUGUUCAUACCCGCAACCGAAACUUUCCCGAGUAAGUGGCAUUAAAACUUGUCAAAUUGUACAAAAAAUACCCCCCAAAACAACAGGAAACUGCUCAAAUAUUGUUUCAGACUCCGUGGCACCUACUGAAAGCAUAAAUUUUAUCAGUCUCUGAGGGGGACUCGUUCACCGAUGAAGGAUAUAUUCUCAGUCAAGUAGCUCUGUUUCCUUUCAAUUCUUCGCAUUGAAAUGCUUCUCAAUUGUAUUAAUCAAUAUCAGUGUGUAUUUUAAAUUUAAGUGGUUUUAUUGUUAAUGUUA